RNAcentral lists this unclassified non-coding RNA (345 nucleotides) under Xenorhabdus poinarii. RNAcentral describes it as "16S-23S ribosomal RNA intergenic spacer". The stretch from base 88 to 160 matches the Rfam family "tRNA". The record is from RNAcentral. Lineage: Bacteria; Pseudomonadati; Pseudomonadota; Gammaproteobacteria; Enterobacterales; Morganellaceae.
AACCGACGAUAGGUUAUUGUUGCAGUGCUCACACAGAUUGUCUGAUGAAAAUGAAGAAGAAGCAGCGCGUCUGCGAAGAAGACUGAUGUCCCCUUCGUCUAGAGGCCUAGGACACCGCCCUUUCACGGCGGUAACAGGGGUUCGAAUCCCCUAGGGGACGCCACGCUGCGGGGAACGGGUGAAAGGCGUAACCAACUGUAUUUUUAAGUGGGCUGGUGACAGCCGAUUUACAAAUCAUGCUCUUUAACAAUCUGGAACAAGCUGAAAAUUUGAAACACUCAGUGCUGUCAAGACAGUAUUGAGGCGUCUCUCAACCCGCACUCCGAAGACACCUUCGGGUUGUGA